RNAcentral lists this ribosomal RNA (253 nucleotides) under uncultured bacterium. RNAcentral's name for it is "partial 16S ribosomal RNA". It matches the Rfam family "Bacterial small subunit ribosomal RNA", at positions 524 to 776 of the family's 1533-position model. The record is from RNAcentral.
UACGUAGGGUCCGAGCGUUGUCCGGAAUUACUGGGCGUAAAGAGCUCGUAGGUGGUUUGUCACGUUGUUCGUGAAAACCCAGGGCUCAACCCUGGGCCUGCAUUCGAUACGGGCAGACUAGAGUUCGGUAGGGGAGACUGGAAUUCCUGGUGUAGCGGUGAAAUGCGCAGAUAUCAGGAGGAACACCAAUAGCGAAGGCAGCUCGCUGGGACGGUACUGACGCUAAGGCGCGAAAGCGUGGGGAGCGAACAGG